Non-coding RNA from Prunus avium (sweet cherry), 366 nucleotides. NCBI's taxonomy places the organism in Eukaryota, Viridiplantae, Streptophyta, Magnoliopsida, Rosales, Rosaceae. The record is from RefSeq and is a predicted model, not a curated record.
GUGCCGCCAUUGUAAUGGAGAUCAUUACUAUGAGAAGUGUUUUAAGGAGCAUGGUUACCCUGAUUGGUUUGCUGACUACAAAGCUCGUAUGUAUGGUCCCAAUGCCACUUACACUGUGACUCCUGAUGAGGCCCGUCCUCCGACUCCAUCUGCAAAUCUGUGUGCUUCUGAUACUAUGCCAGGAUCUCAGGACUCACGAGAAGAUUGGGCAUGGUAAACGGAUAGGGGGGUUAUAUUACUUACAGUUGCCGGCUGCAGCAGUUCGUGAUUGUGUCGCUAAUAAAGCUCUGAGUGGCAGUGUCAAGGACAAGCACCAACUUUGGUUAUGGCAUCGUCGCUUAGGACAUCCGUCGUUUGGUUAUCUUA